GCCGCGGUGGCGGAAUGGCAGACGCGUAGGUCUCAAAAACCUAUUUCCAUUAAGGAAGUGUGGGUUCGACUCCCACCCGCGGCA
RNAcentral lists this transfer RNA (84 nucleotides) under Patescibacteria group bacterium. RNAcentral describes it as "tRNA-Leu". It matches the Rfam family "tRNA". Rfam says of the family: Transfer RNA (tRNA) molecules are approximately 80 nucleotides in length. Their secondary structure includes four short double-helical elements and three loops (D, anti-codon, and T loops). The record is from RNAcentral.